CAUGCUAGUCGAGCGAGUUGAGACUCGCGGCGCAUAGCUCAGUAACACGUGGCCAAGCUACCCUUCAGUCAGCGAUACCCUCGGGAAACUGAGGUUAACAGCUGAUACAAAACGCCAGCUGGAAUGCGGCGUUUCAGAAAGAGACCGCUGAAGGAUGCGGCUGCGGCCGAUUAGGUAGACGGUGGGGUAACGGCCCACCGUGCCAGUAAUCGGUACGGGUGAUGAGAGUCAGAGCCCGGAGACGGAAUCUGAGACAAGAUUCCGGGCCCUACGGGGCGCAGCAGGCGCGAAACCUUUACACUGCACGGAAGUGCGAUAGGGGAAUCCCAAGUGCGAGGGCAUACUAGCCCUCGCUUUUCUCGACUGUAAGGUGGUCGACGAAUAAGAGCUGGGCAAGACCGGUGCCAGCCGCCGCGGUAAUACCGGCAGCUCAAGUGAUGUCCCAUAUUAUUGGGUCUAAAGCGUCCGUAGCUGGCCGACCAAGUCUCCCGGGAAAUCCACCCGCCCAACGGGUGGGCGUCCGGUAGAAACUGGCCGGCUUGGAACCGGAAGGCUCAGAGAGUACGUCCGGGGUAGGAGUGAAAUCCCGUAAUCCCGGACGGACUACCGAUGGCGAAAGCACUCUGAGAAGACGGCUUCGACAGUGAGGGACGAAAGCUCGGGUCUCAAACCGGAUUAGAUACCCGGGUAGUCCGAGCUGUAAACGAUGCUCGUUAGGUGUGGCACCCACUACGAGUGGGUGCUGCGCCGUAGGGAAGCCGCUAAACGAGCCGCCUGGGAAGUACGUCCGCAAGGAUGAAACUUAAAGGAAUUGGCGGGGGAGCACUACAACCGGAGGAGCC
This 842-nucleotide ribosomal RNA is filed under the name uncultured archaeon. RNAcentral describes it as "bacterial SSU rRNA". It matches the Rfam family "Archaeal small subunit ribosomal RNA", at positions 50 to 895 of the family's 1478-position model. The record is from RNAcentral.